GAUUUAUUAUUUUUAUUUUAAUAAUUUGAGACAAUUUGAACUGCGUGUAGCAAACAAUGCAAUACUUCUAUCUUAUUAAUUUUGAUCCUAAGUAGGGAUAGUUUAAGCGCAGUUUGGUUAAAUCAGUUCAUGGUCAACGUAGCUACUUUUGACAAAUAUUUAUUGAGUACCAAACAUUAAUUAGCAUGGAGUGUUGGUCACUCAAAAGGAACUCUAACAAGGUUUUAUGUUUUAUACUAGAUGAGAUUAAAUUUUACAGAUACAACCAACUUAACAUCUUAAGUUGGUGUUUAAAAAAAAAGAAAAAAGAAAAAAAAAGAACAUUGAGUGAGUGUUAGUUUCCAGGUCCCUUGACAUUUUCUGAUGAAGAAAGCUCUCAGAGAAUUUGCCCCUCAGUUUAUUUAAAGCAGAUGCAAGCUAAGAAAAUUUUGAGUAAAAAAAAAAAUCUCUUAGAAAUGAAGCAAUGUAGGAUAUGGUAAAUUUUAUUUACACAAAAGAAAAAAUAACUCCUUUUAGUAGAAAAGCAGUAGUCUCCUAUAGACGCCAUGACGAGGUAAAAGAAUUUCUACUUUAUGAACAUUUCUUGUAGAAGGUUUUAAAAAAUAUUUUGAAAUAGCAUCACUGAUUUUGAGUGUAAUAAAAUCUUCAUGGCUCAUGGGUCUUUUAAAUCACUUGCUGUGAAGGCUUUAGGACCUGAGUUCAGAUCUCCAGCAUCCAUGUAAGAUAAGAUGAUGAUACGAAAAUGAUAAGAAUAAUGAUAGCAACAGCCAUAGCAACCUUGUAUAGCAAAGGUAUGUAAAUCCAGCACUGCAUGGGAGGACGCAGGCUGAUCCCCAAUACAUUGCAAACAGCUAUUCUAGCCAACUGGUGAGCUCUGGGACCAAAGAGAUGUGUCAUGUCAAAAAAAUAAGGUAGAGAAUGACUAAGAAAGAAAGUUGACAUCAAUCUCUCACUCCUGCCCAUAUGCUCAGGUGAAUGCUCUCCCCCAACCCUGCCACAUUCCUAAAUGCCAAAUAUUCUAUAGUAAUUUGAAUUUAUUAUCUAAUUAAGGGCAUACGAUUUAAGAAAAUUAAAUAUAACGAUCAGAUCCUAGCUCACUGACCCAAUAUUUGUAUGAAACAUAAUAUAAUUUGUUCUGUAAUGAAAUCUUGUUUGGGAAAAUUAGAACAGACUUGAACUCCUUUUGUGAACACUAGUCUCAGAGAUUUUAUAUUCCAGGACAAAGGAAGGAAGUUUCAGCACACUCUAACUGGAAGAGAAAUAACUAUGUUUUGUUUUGUUUUGUUUUGUUUUGUUUUGUUUUGUUUUAAUAUAAAGGCAGUCACAAGGAAAACACUAGAGAAUAAUGUAAGGUAUAAUAUAAUUUAAUUAUCAGAUUGAAAUUGGCGAAAUUUUAAUGAUACAUUGGAUUCUGUAUUCUAAAUAAUUUUACAUCUUGAAACAAGUAUGUUUUAAUAAUGAAUAAAUACUUUAAUAUUAAAAAGCUGUUUUGAUUUAACACUGUUUAUCCCCAAUAAAGUACUCCAUGCUGAUCAUACUCUAAGUAUCUAAGUACUCGAAGAUCUUAUUAACAAAUGCACACUUAUUUUAAUAAGUGAGUUGAUCACCUUGGAUUUUAUUUUCAGUGCCUUUAUACUGCAUAUUCAAUUUUCAAAUAUUUUGGCCACUACAAAAAUGUAGGUAGGAGGACAUCUUCUCUACAGACUAUUAGCUUGUUUCUUCAUCGGUAACUUGGACCCAGGUAUUAAUUUGGAAUGUUAUUCACCCGUGAUGUGAAAACAAGGUCGAUUGCUGUCCCUAUGCCGUUUUCUCCUUUUCCUCACAUCCUGCCUCUCAUCAACCUCAUUUUAACAGCAAUGCUUAGGGUUGCAGGAUCACACUUUCUGAGUUACAAUUAAAUUAGACCUUGUUGUGAUAUGAGCAUAAAUCCAGUCUUCCGUUCUUGUAUCUCCUUUCUGUCUAAGCUUGAUGGGAAGAUAAAGCAGGAUGUGAUAUUGUAUCUGAACCAGCUCAACAUUUGAUGCAUGUCAAACGCUUAAUCCUUAGAACUGUUGGUAUCCGGUCAGUAUUCUCAAUAGAUACCUACCUGUUAGGUCCUAGGCUGGGAAGUGAUGAUGCAAAGCAGACCAUUUACCUUCUUUGCCUUUAGGAAAUUUCAUUGUGGUGAUGAGAUGCCAGUGACUGGAGCCUUUUGGAUAUGCUGAAGGACCAAUACAGGGAGCUGAUGGGACUGGGGGGAAAAAUCUGUUAGCAAGGAAAAAAAUCUGUUAGUAAGGUGCUUACCUAGUAAAAAUGAAGGCCUGAAUUGGAUUCCAAACAAGC
This 2322-nucleotide long non-coding RNA is filed under the name Mus musculus (house mouse). Its description in RNAcentral is "long non-coding RNA chr16:77539881-77542203". Lineage: Eukaryota; Metazoa; Chordata; Mammalia; Rodentia; Muridae. The record is from RNAcentral.